AUCGCUUCUCGGCCUUUUGGCUAAGAUCAAGUGUAGGAAGUGGGGACCAGGCAUCUUAUUUAUUUUGUUUUGUUUUUUUGUUGUUGUUGUUAAUUCCCAAGUGAUUUUUAUUCAUGGUGAGUUUUGAGAACUAACCACAUUAAGAGCCCUGUUUAAUUUGGCUCUAAAUGUGGUUAGUUCUCAACUCAC
This is a small nuclear RNA of Cebus imitator (Panamanian white-faced capuchin), 189 nucleotides long. RefSeq annotates it as U2 spliceosomal RNA. NCBI's taxonomy places the organism in Eukaryota, Metazoa, Chordata, Mammalia, Primates, Cebidae. The transcript has a single exon. The record is from RefSeq and is a predicted model, not a curated record.